UACGGGAGGCAGCAGUGGGGAAUAUUGCACAAUGGGCGCAAGCCUGAUGCAGCCAUGCCGCGUGUAUGAAGAAGGCCUUCGGGUUGUAAAGUACUUUCAGUCGUGAGGAAGGUGUUAAGGUUAAUAACCUUAGCAAUUGACGUUAGCGACAGAAGAAGCACCGGCUAACUCCGUGCCAGCAGCCGCGGUAAUACGGAGGGUGCGAGCGUUAAUCGGAAUUACUGGGCGUAAAGGGCACGCAGGCGGUUAAUUAAGUUGGAUGUGAAAUCCCCGGGCUUAACCUGGGAAUGGCAUUCAAGACUGGUUAGCUAGAGUCUUGUAGAGGGGGUAGAAUUCCAUGUGUAGCGGUGAAAUGCGUAAAGAUGUGGAGGAAUACCGGUGGCGAAGGCGGCCCCUGGACAAAGACUGACGCUCAUGUGCGAAAGCGUGGGGAGCAAACAGGGAUUAGAUACCCGU
Molecule: ribosomal RNA, 456 nt
Filed under: uncultured bacterium
Lineage: Bacteria
Description: bacterial SSU rRNA
Rfam family: Bacterial small subunit ribosomal RNA
Source: RNAcentral